GCUGUUCAAUAUAUAUUUGCAUGUCCAGUCGUGUCAAAUGUAGUUAAUUUCCAUACAGAGAGAGCUUAUCUAAAGGCAUCUUUAAUACUGCAACAAACAUGCCCCCCUGCUUUGUACAGCUUUACAUGGUUCUCUAGUUAUAUUAGUCCGAAGAGUUUGUUUGUGCAUUUGUGGUCUACUGCAAACCAUACCUGGAUUUGCUCUUGAGAGCAUUACCUUGGUCUCUUUUUUUUUGCAAGGUCCCUAUCAUCAAACAUUUCCUAUGAAAUUGCCUACAUUGUUUGCAAGUAACUAAAGUUGCGAGAGCUGAGUCAAUUCAGCUUCUUGUCUUGCAUUGCUGUAAUAAUAAUAAUCUAUUUUUGCAUAUCAUAUGUAUUUGAUACCAAUGAUGCCUAUGAUGACUUGCAAGAUUAUUGCCUACAUUGUUUGACAAGUAUCUUUGUGAUAUUAAUUGCAAGUAGCUGAGGCUUGAGAUGCUAUCACAAUUUUUCUUGCUGCAUUGCAUCAGCACUCAUACGUCCUAAUUAACUAACUUGUAUUGUUGCCAACUAGUCAUUUUAUUUGUUUUUGUAAAUCCUGACUCUCUGCUUAUGAUGAGUUGCAAUAUCUUUUGCCUACAUUGUCUGACAAAUGUUGUCAUGAUAAUAUUUGCAACCUCUGAGGCAUAAAGCACUGUCAUUGGUUUUUCUUUUUGUUCUUCUAGAAUAAAGAAUGUAAUUCAUUGUCUUUCUUUACCUAUGAUGAGUUGCGAAAUUUAUUGCCUGCAUUGUUUGAUUAAACCUGUGAGAAAAUUUGCAACAUCUGAGGAUAAAAAGUUACUCCUUUUACUUGAUUUUCUGCUGGUUGUUUUUUCUUUUUUUUUUUCUUCUAGAAAAUAUGAGUGCAAUUCAUUGUUUUUCUUUACCUAUGAUGAGUUGUGAAAUUUAUUGCCUACAUUGUUUGACUAACCUGUGAGAAAAUUUGCAACAUCUGAGGAUAAAAAGUUACCCCUUUACUUGAUUUUCUGCUGGUUGGUUUAUCUUUUAUUACUUUAGAAAAGAAGAGGGCAAUUCAUUGCCUUUUUUUUAACCUAUGAUGAGUUGCAAAAUUUAUUGCCUACAUUGUUUGACUAACCUGUGAGAAACAAUUGCAACAUCUGAGGAUAAAAAGAUGUAGUUCACUUGGCUUUCUGGUGGAUUUUUCUUAAUAUAUCGAGAGUUUUUUUUGUUGGCGCCCGUUAGUACAAGUUGUGACCCUUGUUUAGGUGCCAGUGGAUUGAUGUAUUAUUGUCAUCCAAAUCAUGCCAUUUCUCGUUAUUGCUUCGUCAAGCCAAAUAUUGACUGCUGGUUUUGUUUACCCUCCGCAG
Molecule: long non-coding RNA, 1345 nt
Filed under: Oryza sativa (Asian cultivated rice)
Lineage: Eukaryota; Viridiplantae; Streptophyta; Magnoliopsida; Poales; Poaceae
Description: long non-coding RNA (OSAT_LNC000551)
Rfam family: Small nucleolar RNA SNORD34 (bases 1064-1146)
Source: RNAcentral